Molecule: ribosomal RNA, 422 nt
Filed under: uncultured bacterium
Lineage: Bacteria
Description: bacterial SSU rRNA
Rfam family: Bacterial small subunit ribosomal RNA
Source: RNAcentral
GGAAUAUUGGACAAUGGGCGCAAGCCUGAUCCAGCCAUGCCGCGUGUGUGAAGAAGGCCUUCGGGUUGUAAAGCACUUUAAGUUGGGAGGAAGGUUUCUUGGUUAAUACCCAAGAGAAUUGACGUUAACAACAGACGAAGCACCGGCUACUUCCGUGCCAGCAGCCGCGGUAAUACGGAAGGUUCGAGCGUUAACCGGAAUUAAUGGGCGUAAAGCGCACGUAGGUGGCUACUUAAGUCGGAUGUGAAAGCCCUGGGCUUAACCUGGGAAUUGCAUCCGAUACUGGGUGGCUAGAGUACGGUAGAGGGAGGUGGAAUUCCAGGUGUAGCGGUGAAAUGCGUAGAGAUCUGGAGGAACACCGGUGGCGAAGGCGGCCUCCUGGACUGAUACUGACACUGAGGUGCGAAAGCGUGGGGAGCAAA